This 473-nucleotide long non-coding RNA is filed under the name Pan troglodytes (chimpanzee). Its description in RNAcentral is "long non-coding RNA NONPTRT000197". Lineage: Eukaryota; Metazoa; Chordata; Mammalia; Primates; Hominidae. The record is from RNAcentral.
GACAGGGCACAGGUCAAGUAGGUGAUGGUGUGAUUAUGAGAGGGGUGCAUUUGUCCCACGACCCAGCACAACUUCCUAAUCAUCUCCUCUGUGCCCUCCCCUGGGCUGGCCCCUGGGGAUGGAGACAUUGAAGGACACAGUGCCUGCCCUAUUGGGUCCUGAAGUCUGGGGUGGCAAAAGGAGGCGCAUGAAGCCAACAGAUUAUAGGACAAUGCAGACUCAUAAUAGUUACCGACAAGAAUGAAUGAUGUGCAACAGGAAAGGGAGAGUCUGCUGCAGCCUGGAAGCAUCAGAGGAGGCCAGAGAGAGAAGGGAGUAUGGCAGCCCAUUCUUCAAAAAUGAGGACAUCUUUCACUGGAGAUGCAAACGCCUGAAAAGGAGGAUGGUGCAACUUCGAAGUGGGAGAGUGCAGGGAGAUGACAAUGAUAGGACAGGAGUGAGCUCUACUGUGUAUAUGCUCUUGAGAUCAUGAG